RNAcentral lists this ribosomal RNA (164 nucleotides) under uncultured bacterium. Its description in RNAcentral is "partial 16S rRNA". It matches the Rfam family "Bacterial small subunit ribosomal RNA", at positions 355 to 511 of the family's 1533-position model. The record is from RNAcentral.
UAGGGAAUCUUCCACAAUGGGCGAAAGCCUGAUGGAGCAACGCCGCGUGUGUGAUGAAGGGUUUCGGCUCGUAAAACGCUGUUGUAAGAGAAGAAUGACAUUGAGAGUAACUGUUCAAUGUGUGACGGUAUCUUACCAGGGAGGAACGGCUAAAUACGCGCCAG